CCCUUAGAUGUUCUGGGCCGCACGCGUGCUACACUGAGUGGAUCAGCGGGUCAGGUUGCGCGAAAGUGUUUCCUAAUCUUGAAAUCCGCUCGUGAUGGGGAUUGACGGUUGCAAUUUUCCGUCAUGAACGAGGAAUACCUUGUAAGCGCGGGUCACCAUCCCGCGCUGAAUACGUCCCUGCCCUUUGUACACACCGCCCGUCGCUCCUACCGAUUGAGUGGUCCGGUGAGGCUUUGGGAUCUGAGCAAAAAGAGCGUUUCGCUCGUUUGGCUCGGAAAACUCAGUCGAACCUUAUCAUUUAGAGGAAGGAGAAGUCGUAACA
RNAcentral lists this ribosomal RNA (322 nucleotides) under uncultured eukaryote. RNAcentral describes it as "partial 18S ribosomal RNA". It matches the Rfam family "Eukaryotic small subunit ribosomal RNA", at positions 1470 to 1796 of the family's 1831-position model. The record is from RNAcentral.